CUGAUCUACUGGCUUGAGGAGGCUCAAUGAGGCCACAGCCAGCUGGUGUUCUGUUAAACAGUUCAAGAUGAUGAACAUGGAACCUCAGACUCUCGGCUCGUUCAGCCUUCCUGCGAUUCUGGAGCAGUCGGAGCCUGGCAGCACGGCAGUUUUUCUGCACUCCCUCACUAGAGAUGGAAUCACUGCGAGAGGUUAACAUAGAGCUGUCAGUCAUAAUAUCAGAUGCGUCCGUCCUCCACCCUCGCCACCUCCGAUCAGCAGCAACGUCACGCUCCUCAUCACAGGAUUGCAGCCACUUCCCUCACCACCACCACCAGCGUCUGGACCACAAGGUGGAAUACAGCCUCGUCUGACCUAAACAUCUCUACCCCUGGACUGUCCUAUUGCUGGAUGGAGUCCAAUCUCCAAAGACUUUGCACAAAUUAUAUUUAUGCAUGUUUCAUAUAUUUGUGCUGAUUGAAUUGCCUUUCUAUAAGAAUCUCAAACAAAAAAAUAAAUAUUACAAGAUUACAGU
Gasterosteus aculeatus aculeatus (three-spined stickleback) is the source of this 514-nucleotide long non-coding RNA. Lineage: Eukaryota; Metazoa; Chordata; Actinopteri; Perciformes; Gasterosteidae. The record is from Ensembl.